GGUAAGAUGGCUGAAGAUACAGGUGGUAGACUGUAAAUCUAUUUAUGAGGGUGAUACCUCUCUUACCA
This 68-nucleotide transfer RNA is filed under the name Xiangelilacris zhongdianensis. Its description in RNAcentral is "tRNA-Tyr". It matches the Rfam family "tRNA". From Rfam's summary of the family: Transfer RNA (tRNA) molecules are approximately 80 nucleotides in length. Their secondary structure includes four short double-helical elements and three loops (D, anti-codon, and T loops). The record is from RNAcentral. Lineage: Eukaryota; Metazoa; Arthropoda; Insecta; Orthoptera; Acrididae.